AAACUGAAGAGUUUGAUCAUGGCUCAGAUUGAACGCUGGCGGUAUGCUUAACACAUGCAAGUCGAACGGUAACAGGCCUUCGGGUGCUGACGAGUGGCGGACGGGUGAGUAAUGCAUAGGAAUCUGCCUGGUAGUGGGGGACAACGUAGGGAAACUUACGCUAAUACCGCAUACGCCCUUCGGGGGAAAGCGGGGGACUUUCGGGCCUCGCGCUAUCAGAUGAGCCUAUGUUGGAUUAGCUAGUUGGUGGGGUAAAGGCCUACCAAGGCUGCGAUCCAUAGCUGGUCUGAGAGGAUGAUCAGCCACACUGGGACUGAGACACGGCCCAGACUCCUACGGGAGGCAGCAGUGGGGAAUAUUGGACAAUGGGCGAAAGCCUGAUCCAGCAAUACCGCGUGUGUGAAG
Molecule: ribosomal RNA, 405 nt
Filed under: Gammaproteobacteria bacterium
Lineage: Bacteria; Pseudomonadati; Pseudomonadota; Gammaproteobacteria
Description: bacterial SSU rRNA
Rfam family: Bacterial small subunit ribosomal RNA
Source: RNAcentral